GGGAGGCAGUCUUGUCUCGCAAGUCUGACUCAUAUCUUGAUUUCGUAAAAAAACAUUCAGAAAGCAAUUAAGCACGAAAAUAACAAAUUUUCCUUUCCGAUCUAGCCAGCAGGGUCGGAACAGCUCGGGUUCGUUCUGUCUUGAGAUUCCUUGUACAUUACCUUUCCUUUUCUAUUCAAGAGGGCUGUGGCCGUUCGGGUUCGUUCAGUCACAAAAUUCUUGGGUGGAAUCCUCUCCUUCAUACCAGGAGGGCCGGAACAGUUCAGGAACGUUCCGUUUCAAGAUUCCGGAACGUUCUUGAUUCGGUGGGUACGCGAUGCCUCGUGCCUUAGCAACCGCUUGGAAUCCGCCGAUUCGGCAUCGCCUGAUCGCGACCUCCAAGGUGGCACGUGGAUACCCUUGGUAACGACUAAAGUCAUAACUUAGAGACUAAAGUGCUGAGAUGCACUGAAAACCCCGUCACGACGAUCGCUUUCGAGCUCUCGUCGCCGUGGCGAGGAUUUUUGUACAUCAGUUCCGUUUGAUCUUCACUGACAUUCGGUCGUCCACGUGGAUAACUCCGUAGGUUAGCAACUCGCGGCGGUUUAGUAAAUCCUGAAAGAUCGGUGAAACUGCAUAGAGGACCCGUAAGCCUAACCUCCGAUAACAAACGCGAAGUGAGCAACACACUGCUCCUUGCCUCACGGACGUUCUAUUGCCGAGUCUUGCAGACUUUUGCGUGCACCUUCUAUUAAGUUAUUUCUCAAUUUGUUAUUCUUUCUAAAAUCAAGUUAAUUCUGUGCGUGUGUGUGAACCGCGCGUCAAACGAAGGCGCGGUUAUUGUGUGCGGAGCGGAACGGGAGAAUUGUUCCCGUUCGUGUGAGAGAGUAAGUGGGAGUAAAUGUUAAUUCACGGUUCCGUCUUCAAAAUCGUACCUCGAGUCAUUCAAAUUGUAAACCUUUUUGUAUCUUUCCUUUUCGCAUACUUUUCACAUCUACUUCUGUUCUCGUCGAACCUUCUGUUUCUAUGUCAAUAAAUCUAAUUUCCCGGUUAA
Long non-coding RNA from Venturia canescens, 1033 nucleotides. RefSeq lists it as uncharacterized. The transcript is spliced from 2 exons. Lineage: Eukaryota; Metazoa; Arthropoda; Insecta; Hymenoptera; Ichneumonidae. The record is from RefSeq and is a predicted model, not a curated record.